GCAAGUUUGCUGAAGCAGACUGCACCUGAAUAGACACAGAGCCAUGAACCUCAUGGCCAAGGUCAGCUACCCGAGCCUCCAGAACUCCUGAAGGAGCUGACAGCCACAGAGAUGUGUGGUGGAGGCUCUCCACUCAUCACCAUCCUGGACAAGAGAUUCCUGGCUUGCUUCACCUCACAGAGCUGGCUUCUCUACCCAAGGCCUCUACUGGAAUGAAGCAAUCACAAAGCCUUUAAUUCCCACCCAGACGCCUUCCAAGAUGAAACUGGGCCACAGUUUUCCCAGACAACAACAGUCCAGAAAAAGAAAGCUAUCUCAUUUCCAAGAAGGGGGGAGUCCAGGGAGCUGGACAAACUCACAAACAUUCAUGGUGGAGAAGGAAGGAAGUCAUGGCUGACUGACCCAUCAAAGCCCUUGAAUAAUUGCCGAUGGGUUUCUUGGUAUGAUGUGCCCUAAACCAUGCCACUCUCUUCUGUUUGUUGGUCCAUCAAGAACUGCAAAGGUUGGCUCAGAGACCGCCUGCUACACUCUUCCACAGCUGUGUCCCUAGCUCCCACUCGAUUUGACUCAGAAGAUGUCAACUUGCAGAACAAAGGCUUAGUGAGCAGAGUUGGUGGAUGGGGAGCAAAACUGAGGCCUCCCCCCCCCCCCCCCGGGGUGGGAGGGUAAGAGCCAGGAAGGUUCCAAUCCUAUAAAACUGUUACAAGUUUUAGGAGGUAAAUUUGUUCCCUUAAGAAAGGAAUAUUGGGAA
This 751-nucleotide long non-coding RNA is filed under the name Mus musculus (house mouse). Its description in RNAcentral is "predicted gene 45307". Lineage: Eukaryota; Metazoa; Chordata; Mammalia; Rodentia; Muridae. The record is from RNAcentral.